GGACCAUCGUGUCGGUCGUGCCUCGGUACGUACUGGCAUCGUCGGUUUCUCCCUUCUGACGAACCAUGAUGUCAUUUAUUUGGUGUUGUGGGGAAUCAGGACUGUUACUUUGAAAAAAUUAGAGUGUUUAAAGCAGGCUUAUUAGGCUUGAAUACAUUAGCAUGGAAUAAUGAAAUAGGACGAUUGAUCCUAUUUUGUUGGUUUCUAGGAUUGACGUA
This 218-nucleotide ribosomal RNA is filed under the name Campeiostachys nutans. Its description in RNAcentral is "Elymus nutans partial small subunit ribosomal RNA". The stretch from base 46 to 218 matches the Rfam family "Eukaryotic small subunit ribosomal RNA", at positions 693 to 864 of the family's 1831-position model. The record is from RNAcentral. Lineage: Eukaryota; Viridiplantae; Streptophyta; Magnoliopsida; Poales; Poaceae.